RNAcentral lists this ribosomal RNA (426 nucleotides) under uncultured bacterium. RNAcentral's name for it is "bacterial SSU rRNA". It matches the Rfam family "Bacterial small subunit ribosomal RNA", at positions 356 to 774 of the family's 1533-position model. The record is from RNAcentral.
AGGGAAUAUUGGACAAUGGGGGCAACCCUGAUCCAGCCAUGCCGCGUGAGUGAAGAAGGCCCUCGGGUUGUAAAGCUCUUUUGUCCGGAAAGAAAAGCAUUCGGUGAAUACCCGGAUGUUCUGACGGUACCGGAAGAAUAAGCACCGGCUAACUACGUGCCAGCAGCCGCGGUAAUACGUAGGCAGCAAGCGUUGUUCGGAGUUACUGGGCGUAAAGAGUGCGUAGGCGGUUUUCUAAGUUCGGUGUGAAAUCUCCCGGCUUAACUGGGAGGGUGCGCCGAAGACUGGGAAGCUGGAGUGUGGGAAAGGCAGGCGGAAUUCCUGGUGUAGCGGUGAAAUGCGUAGAUAUCAGGAGGAACACCGGCGGUGUAGACGGCUUGCUAGACCAUAACUGACGCUGAGGCACGAAAGCGUGGGUAGCAAACA